This 79-nucleotide small nucleolar RNA is filed under the name Drosophila persimilis. Its description in RNAcentral is "snoRNA:GL27994". The record is from RNAcentral. RNAcentral also lists the same sequence under 1 other name. Lineage: Eukaryota; Metazoa; Arthropoda; Insecta; Diptera; Drosophilidae.
UAAAAUGAUGAUUCUUUCAAUUACCUUUUGCGGUUUCCACCAGAAAGCAUUCUGCUUAAAGAUGGCCUUAGGAGUCUGA